UACGUAGGGGGCAAGCGUUGUCCGGAAUUAUUGGGCGUAAAGCGCGCGCAGGCGGUCUCGUAAGUCUGAUGUGAAAGCCCCCGGCUCAACCGGGGAGGGCCAUUGGAAACUGGGAGGCUUGAGUAUAGGAGAGAAGAGUGGAAUUCCACGUGUAGCGGUGAAAUGCGUAGAGAUGUGGAGGAACACCAGUGGCGAAGGCGACUCUUUGGCCUAUAACUGACGCUGAGGUGCGAAAGCCAGGGUCACGAACCGG
RNAcentral lists this unclassified non-coding RNA (253 nucleotides) under uncultured Caryophanales bacterium. RNAcentral describes it as "uncultured Bacillales bacterium contains 16S-23S intergenic spacer region". It matches the Rfam family "Bacterial small subunit ribosomal RNA", at positions 524 to 776 of the family's 1533-position model. Lineage: Bacteria; Bacillati; Bacillota; Bacilli; Caryophanales. The record is from RNAcentral.